Molecule: ribosomal RNA, 468 nt
Filed under: uncultured bacterium
Lineage: Bacteria
Description: partial 16S ribosomal RNA
Rfam family: Bacterial small subunit ribosomal RNA
Source: RNAcentral
GACGAACGCUGGCGGCGUGCUUAACACAUGCAAGUCGAACGGAAAGGCCCUGCUUUUGUGGGGUGCUCGAGUGGCGAACGGGUGAGUAACACGUGAGUAACCUGCCCUUGACUUUGGGAUAACUUCAGGAAACUGGGGCUAAUACCGGAUAGGAGCUCCUGCUGCAUGGUGGGGGUUGGAAAGUUUCGGCGGUCGGGGAUGGACUCGCGGCUUAUCCGCUUGUUGGUGGGGUAGUGGCUUACCAAGGCUUUGACGGGUAGCCGGCCUGAGAGGGUGACCGGCCACAUUGGGACUGAGAUACGGCCCAGACUCCUACGGGAGGCAGCAGUGGGGAAUAUUGCACAAUGGGCGGAAGCCUGAUGCAGCAACGCCGCGUGCGGGAUGACGGCCUUCGGGUUGUAAACCGCUUUCGCCUGUGACGAAGCGUGAGUGACGGUAAUGGGUAAAGAAGCACCGGCUAACUACGUG